RNAcentral lists this ribosomal RNA (443 nucleotides) under uncultured bacterium. RNAcentral describes it as "partial 16S ribosomal RNA". It matches the Rfam family "Bacterial small subunit ribosomal RNA", at positions 338 to 795 of the family's 1533-position model. The record is from RNAcentral.
CCUACGGGUGGCAGCAGUGGGGAAUAUUGGACAAUGGGGGGAACCCUGAUCCAGCGACGCCGCGUGAGUGAAGAAGUAUUUCGGUAUGUAAAGCUCUAUCAGCAGGGAAGAAAGAAAUGACGGUACCUGACUAAGAAGCCCCGGCUAACUACGUGCCAGCAGCCGCGGUAAUACGUAGGGGGCAAGCGUUAUCCGGAUUCACUGGGUGUAAAGGGAGCGUAGACGGCGAGACAAGUCUGGAGUGAAAGGCCGGGGCCCAACCCCGGGACUGCUCUGGAAACUGCCUGGCUGGAGUACAGGAGAGGUAAGUGGAAUUCCUAGUGUAGCGGUGAAAUGCGUAGAUAUUAGGAGGAACACCAGUGGCGAAGGCGGCUUACUGGACUGUAACUGACGUUGAGGCUCGAAAGCGUGGGGAGCAAACAGGAUUAGAUACCCUAGUAGUC